RNAcentral lists this ribosomal RNA (253 nucleotides) under uncultured bacterium. Its description in RNAcentral is "partial 16S ribosomal RNA". It matches the Rfam family "Bacterial small subunit ribosomal RNA", at positions 524 to 776 of the family's 1533-position model. The record is from RNAcentral.
UACGGGGGGGGCAAGCGUUGUUCGGAAUUACUGGGCGUAAAGGGCUCGUAGGCGGCCAACUAAGUCAGAUGUGAAAUCCCUCGGCUUAACCGGGGAACUGCAUCUGAUACUGGAUGGCUUGAGUUCGGGAGAGGGAUGCGGAAUUCCAGGUGUAGCGGUGAAAUGCGUAGAUAUCUGGAGGAACACCGGUGGCGAAGGCGGCAUCCUGGACCGACACUGACACUGAGGAGCGAAAGCCAGGGGAGCAAACGGG